UCAAUAAACAUUCUAUCUUAUUAUGUACAAAUAACACGUACCUUUUUACAAAUUAGAAACUCACACAUACAUUUCAUAUGAACAAAAAUGUAAAUAUUUUCAAAAUUUGAGGUCUUAUAAUAACUAACUAGUGUUACCUUGGGUAGAAAUGGCUGUGAGAAAGUGUAGCAACUGAACUACAAUCAUCACGGUCAUAGUAAUUUGAUAAAUUUUGUGUGAUAUUGUUAAGUUCCAAGGUUUUUUCGUCUAUGAAAGGGGGCUUCGAGGGGGCGGGCAACGGUUCAUCAUUUUUUGCUAGCAUUUUUAGCGCCGCUGACAUAGAUGGUCUUAAGGAUGCUGCUUCUUGGGUGCAAAGAAGUCCGAUAUGUACCGCUUUUAUGGCAUCUCUUUGAAAACUAAUGUUGGGAUGAAUAUGCAUCAUUAGAUUUGGGUCAAAUACUUCCUCCACUCUACCUUGUUUGAAAUGUUUCCAUGCCUUCGACGGUAAGUUGUCGGUAUAUUCGGUAAUGUUGCUUUUGCUGUUUUCCAUGCCAGUGACCACCUCAAGAAUUAGAACACCAAAGCUAUAGACAUCCACCUUUUCUGUUAACUGACCAUGGGCUAUGUACUCCGGAGCCAUAUACCCACUAGUGAAAUAAAAUAAAAUUAGUAGGCUAUAACAAAAGUCAACUAAGUGGUCAUCUAUUGAUUUGUAAAAGCAGUGUCAAAAUUGGCUGGUUGAGUAGUGUUUUUAGUAGGGGCGGUAAUCCAUGACACGACACAAAAUAAAUGGAUUAGCUUUGGAGCUAAACGGGCCGGGUUUGGCUUGAACAGAUCAACCCGUUGCCAACCCGCCAAUCCUGUUAAAAUUAGAACAA
Molecule: long non-coding RNA, 857 nt
Filed under: Helianthus annuus (common sunflower)
Lineage: Eukaryota; Viridiplantae; Streptophyta; Magnoliopsida; Asterales; Asteraceae
Description: hypothetical non coding rna
Source: RNAcentral